Molecule: transfer RNA, 93 nt
Filed under: Clostridiaceae bacterium
Lineage: Bacteria; Bacillati; Bacillota; Clostridia; Eubacteriales; Clostridiaceae
Also listed under: 1 other name
Description: tRNA-Ser
Rfam family: tRNA
About the family: Transfer RNA (tRNA) molecules are approximately 80 nucleotides in length. Their secondary structure includes four short double-helical elements and three loops (D, anti-codon, and T loops).
Source: RNAcentral
GGAAAGAUGGCUGAGUCUGGCUUAAGGCGCACGAUUGGAAAUCGUGUGUGGGCUAAUACCCCACCGAGGGUUCGAAUCCCUCUCUUUCCGCCA